UGCUUGCAGAUAUGUGUAAGAAAUCAGAAGGAAGAGAACUUGACGGACCUUGUAAAUCAGAUGGAGAUUGUCAACCUGGAUGUCCUGGAAAAAAAGGGCAAUGUAUUCGCGGUAGAUGUUGGUGUAUUGAAUCAUCAUCUUUAGAUAAUACUACUCCUAGUGUAAUCCCUCGGAUUGCAAACUGAGUAAAUUAGUAUUGUGAGGAAAUAAUCAUGUAAGAAUAAAUAAUAUGUAAUAAUACAAUUGUUUUAAAAGGAAAAUAUUUUUCUAAAAUAAAAUAUAAUCUUAUAAAAGUUGGAUAAUUAUUUUUCAAAUUUAUUUUAUCUUUUUUGUUUUCUUUUCAUUUUAAAAAAAUAUUUUAUAUUAUUAUUUUUAUUAUAUGAAUUUCAAUACAUUAUUAAAGAUUAUUAAAAUAUUUACAUAUUUAGAUUCUAUAAUAUUAUAAUAGUGAAAAUAAUUACAAAUAUGGAUCCAUAUAUAGAACACCCAUGGAAAUAUGUAUAAUACAAAUAGAUAAUAAUUGAGCAAGACGAGUAAGGCUAAAAAUUCAUGAUUUUUUUAUAUAAUUUUAAAUGAAAAACUGGUUUAAAUAGUUUCAACUGGUGUUCAUGAUUCUUUAUUGUAUUUACAACGAGUUCAAUAGAAACACUAAAAUCAGAGUCUCGCUAUUCAGCUAAAAAAUCUAAUUUUUGGUAAUUAAAUUUUGCGCCUCAAUUCUAAUUAUUGGUUUGUACAAGUUAUGCAUGAUUGUUUCUUGAUGUUUCAAAGAUUUUGGAGUAUUGUGAUCUUCCGAUGUGGAUUGUGAGCAAUGAAGAUGUUGCAUAUAGAUUUUAAUUUUUAUUUAGGCACCAUUGUAUGGUAUGUGCCUUACUGCCUUUUUAGUUUAUGGACAUACAUAUAAUGAUAUCGCUAGGCACUUGUGUUGUAUCAGUACCAAAUUAAUAUCUCGUAUAACGUAUUUUGUCGAAGAUCACUCUACCUUCCGCUGCUUAAAAUAAGUUAAAGAUAACAACAACAACAACAACAAAAGUUCUCAUUCAAUUUUGGAAGUUGGGUUGCUCCGAAUUCUAAUUUGUUAGGUUAUAUAAGUUGUGCACGACUGAUAUCUCUUGAUUAAAAUUUAUGUUUAAUUUACUAUUUAACAGUUUUAUAAAACCCAUUUUAGUUGUUUAUUUUUUAUUAAAAUUGAUUUAGUUUUAUGUCUCUCAAUUUUUUGUACUUUUCUUAUUAUUUUAAUCUAGUUAGGUUGUUGAAGAUCACUCUUGCCUUCCGUCUGCUUCAAAAAAAGUUAAAUAUAACAACAAUAAAAAUAAUGUCUUUCAAAAAAAAACAACAAAUAUUCAUGUGCUAAUAAAAAUUUAUAUUAUUUUGAAAUAAAAACAAUAACUAACUUUAUAAUGAAAAAAUAGGAAAGUUCAUAAAGUUAUUAUAUUUAUCAUAUGUUAAAAAUAUUAUUAUCAAUAAAUAUAAUAACAAAUUUACUUCUAUCAAGAAUCUAAAUCCUUGCAAUUUUUAAUCAGAACCUAUAUUAACGACAAAGAUAAUAUUAAUUUAAGUGAAACCUAUAAGUAUUUUACAAUUAUCCUGUAAAAAAUUAAGUCAAAAUUUUAAAACUAAAAUACUAUCAUUUUAAAAAAUCUAUGAACAUAAUUGAAAUAAGAGUUUAAUUGAAAUAUUACGACACUGUAAAAGGAUUUUACACCGUCAGGUAAUCAUAGACGUCGAUAUUAAAAGAAGCUGAUUUUUAGUUUAAAAAUCUAUAAAAUAAUACAAACGCGAUGAUGGUGAAGAAUCGACGGUUGUAAAACUUUUUACACUGAUAGUGUAUAGUAAUUAAUCUCUUGAAAUAAAGAGGUCAAUCUAAUGUUUUAUUUUCUACUUCAGCGUAAGAGUUUAUUCUUGUAAUUUUAAGGUCUCACAUUUCAAAUUAACAGAAUAUUUGUAAAAUGGCCGUUUAUGUCACUUGAAUUAAUAUAAAUUAUAAUUUAUUUUUAUAAAAAAAUAUUUAAUUAUGAAUAUUGACAUCUUGUUUCGAUUAACACUUUAAUGAAUACUAACAAUGCUUUAAUGAAGGCUUGAACCUAAACUCCAUAUCUUGUAUUCAACUAACCCAAUCAAGUUGAGCUUUUCUCCCGCUAAUAAACUUUCUUUUAUCCUUUCUCAAUAUUUUAAAAUGUGAUAUAUGAUUAACAAAAGUUACAUUGAACUUGUUAUUUAUAUUUUAAUUAAGAAUAUUUAUUAUUAGUUUAUUCUUUAAAUUGAUUAAAUAUAAUAUAUUUUUGCAAUUUUUAAGGAUUAUUUUAUAUUGGUAAAAAAAUGUAUAUUUUCUUAUCUUACAUAGAAUUGAAUUUACUUUUGAAUUUAAGAAACAAUUUGAAGUAAUUAAUACAGUCAAGAUGUAGUCUCACCAUAUGCAAAUUAAGUAACAGAUAUAUGUGUCAUAUCAUAUGUUUAUAUUAAAAAGAUGGAUACUACAAAGAUGUCUGCUCUUAUAAUGAUAUAUUCUUUUUGCUUUCUGCAUCUUAACAUCAGGUUUGGAACUAAUGAUAAAUGAAUAAAUCACCUGCUUUCUAAAAGGAUGUUUAACUUCUAACAAAUUUACAUUUUGAAUUAUUCUUUGUUUACAUACGAUAUUUAUUCUUAUGUUUUGAAGAAAUAUUUGUCUUGCAGAUAUGUUAAGAAAUCAGAAGGAAGAGAACUUGACGGACCUUGUAAAUCAGAUGAGAUUGUCAACCUGGGUGUCCUGGAAAAAAAGGGCAAUGUAUUCGCGGUAGAUGUUGUGUAUUGAAUCAUCAUCUUUAGAUAAUACUACUCCUAGUGUAAUCCCUCGGAUUGCAAACUGAGUAAAUUAGUAUUGUGAGGAAAUAAUCAUGUAAGAAUAAAAAUAAUAUGUAACUAAUACAAUUGUUUUAAAAGGAAAUAUUUUUCUAAAAUAAAAUAUAAUCUUAUAAAAGUUGGA
This 2959-nucleotide long non-coding RNA is filed under the name Lathyrus oleraceus (garden pea). RNAcentral's name for it is "Pisum sativum (pea) long non-coding RNA (PSAT_LNC021619)". The record is from RNAcentral. Lineage: Eukaryota; Viridiplantae; Streptophyta; Magnoliopsida; Fabales; Fabaceae.